UUGUAUUGCACUUCUUUCUGGACA
This 24-nucleotide non-coding RNA is filed under the name Mus musculus (house mouse). The record is from RNAcentral. Lineage: Eukaryota; Metazoa; Chordata; Mammalia; Rodentia; Muridae.